This 3281-nucleotide ribosomal RNA is filed under the name Pogostemon cablin (patchouli). RNAcentral's name for it is "eukaryotic LSU rRNA". The stretch from base 367 to 2869 matches the Rfam family "Eukaryotic large subunit ribosomal RNA". The record is from RNAcentral. Lineage: Eukaryota; Viridiplantae; Streptophyta; Magnoliopsida; Lamiales; Lamiaceae.
ACGACUCUCGACAACGGAUAUCUCGGCUCUCGCAUCGAUGAAGAACGUAGCGAAAUGCGAUACUUGGUGUGAAUUGCAGAAUCCCGUGAACCAUCGAGUCUUUGAAUGCAAGUUGCGCCCGAAGCCACUAGGCCGAGGGCACGCCUGCCUGGGUGUCACGCAUCACUAACCCCCUCCCCGUGCUCAAAUGCGCGGCGGGGGUGGAAAGUGGUCCCCCGUGUGCGGUGCCGCGCGGUCGGCCCAAAUGUAAUCCCCGGCGACGCACGUCACGAUAAGUGGUGGUUGAACCCUCAACGCUCUUUUUCGUGCACCACUGUGUCGGGACGCACGAUCAAAUGGCACGUGCGAGCACGUCGCCUUCGACCGCGACCCCAGGUCAGACAGGAUCACCUGCUGAGUUUAAGCAUAUCAAUAAGCGGAGAAAAAGAAACUUACAAGGAUUUCCCUAGUAACGGCGAGCGAAUCGGGAAUAGCCCAACUUGAGAAUCGGACGGCCACACCGUUCGAAUUGUAGUCUGGAGAAGCGUCCUCAGCGGCGGACUGCGGUCGAGUCCCCUGGAAUGUGGCGCCAUAGAGGGUGAGAGCCCCAUUGCUCCUGGACCUUGUCGCACCACGAGGCGCUGUCAGCGAGUUGGGUUGUUUGGGAAUGCAGCCCCAAUCAGGCAGUAAAUCUGUCCAAGGCUAAAUACGCGCGAGAGAUCGAUAGCGAACAAGUACCGCGAGGGAAAGAUUAAAAGGACUUUGAAAAGAGAGUCAAAGAGUGCUUGAAAUUAUCGGGAGGGAAGCGGAUGAGGACCGGCGAUAUGUCCCGGUAGGAUGUGGAAUGGCUAGAGCCGGUCCGCCGAUCGACUCGAGACGCAGACUAGCACGGAUCAAUGCGGCGCUCAAAGCUCGGGUGGUUGAUAUGCUCAUUGUACGGCAUCGCAUUGAUCCAGGAGGACAACGCGCGCCUCGUGCGUGCCUCGGUUACUGCGCGUUCUUGGUGCUGGCCUGUGGGCUCCCCAUUCGACCCGUCUUGAAACACGGACCAAGGAGUCUGACAUGUGCGCGAGUCAACGAGCGAUUAAACCCGUAAGGCGCAAGGUAGCUGACCGACGUGAUCCCCCCGAGGGGUGCACCGCCGACCGACCUUAAUCUUCUGAGAAGGGUUCGAGUGAGCUUACCUGUCGGGACUCGAAAGAUGGUGAACUAUGCCUGAGCGGGGCAAAGCCAGAGGAAAAUCUGGUGGAGGCCCGCAGCGAUACUGACGUGCAAAUCAUUCGUCUGACUUGGGUAUAGGGGCGAAAGACUAAUCGAACCGUCUAGUAGCUGGUUCCCUCCGAAGUUUCCUUCAGGAUAGCUGGAGCUCUAGUGCGAGUUCUAUCGUGUAAAGCCAAUAGGUAAGACGGCGCGGCUGCUCCGUUGAGCCGUGCCAGAGAAUCAUGAGCUCCAAGUGGGCCAUUUUUGUAAGCAGAACUGGCGAUGCGGAAUGAACCGGAAGCCAGGUUACGGUGCCCAACUGCGCGCUAACCUAGAUCCCACAAAGGGUGUUGGUCGAUUAAGACAGCAGGACGGUGGUCAUGGAAGUCGAAAUCCGAUAAGGAGUGUGUAACAACUCACCUGCCGAAUCAACUAGCCCCGAAAAUGGAUGGCCCUGAAGCGCUCGACCUAUACCCGGCCGUCGGGGCAAAGGCCAUGCCCCGAUGCGUAGGAGGGCACGACGGUCGCUGUAAAACCCUGGGCGCGAGCCCGGGUGGAGCGGCCGUCGGUGCGGAUCUUGGUGGUAGUAGCAAAUAUUCAAAUGAGAACUUUGAAGGUUAAGAAGGAAAAGGUUCCAUGUGAACGGCACUUUCACAUGGAUUAGUCGAUCCUAAGGGUCGGGGGAAGCCCGACAGACAGCGCAUUCAACGCGUGCUCCGAAAGGGAAUCGGGUUAAAAUUCCUGAACCGGGAUGCGGCGGUUGACGGCAACGUUAGGGAGUCUGAAGACGUCGGCGGGGGCCUCGGGAAGAGUUAUCUUUUCUGUUUAACAUCCCGCCCACCCUUGAAAAGGCUCAGCCGAAGGUAGGGUCCAGUGGCUGGAAGAGCACCACACGUCGCGUGGUGUCCAGUGCGCCCCCGGCGGCCCUUGAAAAUCCUGAGGACCGAGUACUGUCCGCGCUCGGUCGUACUCAUAACCGCAUCAGGUCUCCAAGGUGAACAGCCUCUGGUCGAUGGAACAAUGUAGGCAAGGAAAGUCUGCAAAAUGGAUCUGUAACCUCGGGAAAAGGAUUGACUCUGAGGGCUGGUCACAGGGUCCCAGUCCCGAACCCGUCCGCUGUCGGCGAACUGCUCGAGCUGCUUGCACAGAGCGACGUUGCUUUUUGAUCCUUCGAUGUCGGCUCUUCCUAUCAUUGUAAAGCAGAAUUCACCAAGUGUUGGAUUGUUCACCAACCAAUAGGGAACGUGAGCUGGGUUUAGAUCGUCGUGAGACAAGUUAGUUUUACCCUACUGAUGAUGGUGUCGCAAUAGUAAUUCAACCUAGUACGAGAGGAACCGUCGAUUCGCACAAUUGGUCAUCGCGCUUGGUUGAAAAGCUAGUGGCGCGAAGCUACCGUGCGCUGGAUUAUGACUGAACGCCUCUAAGUCAGAGUCCAAGCUAGACGCGACGCAUGCGCCCGCCGUUCGCUCCCCGACCUGCAGUAGGGGCCCCCGGGCACCCAAGGGCAUGUGUCGUUGGCCAAGCCCCCGCGGCGGAUGAGCCGCAUGGGCCGCCUCGAAGUAUAAUUCCAAUCGAGUGGCGUGUAGAAUCCUUUGCAGACGACUUAAAUACACGACCGGGUAUUGCAAGUGGCAGAAUGGCCUUGCUGCCACGAUCUGCUGAGUUUCAGCGCUUCGUCGCUUCGAUUCAUCCCCCUCCCGAUCCCCCUACAUAAAACCCCAUUCCCACCGUGAGGUUCAGUAGCUUUUGGAUAGGAAACAUGCAAGUCCCAGAAAAAUUCCAGGUCAUGACAAAACGAGCAUAAAAAAGAAAGAAAUCUGCAUCUAAACGAGUGAAAUGUUGAUCGUAACGAGAAAAGGAGCAUCAAAAUGAAGUAAAUAUGCAUCGAAAUGAAGGAAAUGCUUAUCGUAAUGAUAAAAGGAGCAUCAAAAUGAAGGAAAUAUGCAUUGAAACAAAGGAAAUGUUGACCGUAACGAGAAAAUGAGCAUCAAAAUGAAGUAAAUAUGCAUCGAAACGAAGGAAAUGUGUAUCGUAACGAGAAAAGGAGCAUCAAAAUGAAGGAAAUAUGCAUCAAAACGAAGGUAAUGUUGAUCGUAAAGAGA